GCAAACUAGCUAGUCCAUUAACACAACGUUGAACUACUUUUGCUGGUUUUCAUUGACUUGCAUAUGAGAUUACAAAGACAAGUACAUGCCCAACUCGCCAUAAUACGACCACACCCUACAAAGGUUUGGUUUACGGACUGGAAUACGAAAAAGUAAAAAACAACAUGACUCAGAAAUUCAUCUUAUUAGUUCGAUGAUUCCAUUACAGACUCGAUGACCAAACCGACGUGCACAACCGUGCUUAAGCAAACAUUACCCACUGAAACAGAAGUAAUAAUAUAUAGUAGUAGUAGAUAAAAAAGAGACCUUGCAGCAUUGCCUUGACUCUCGUGACAUGGCGCACAACCGAUCGAGCCCAAGGUCCCUCCAGCCAGUUCAAACGCCACGACAAACUGCCGAAACCGGGAUGGCCUUGGUGACGAUUUCCCUUACCGGCACCGUGACAUCGCACCUGACACUGAAGACAUCCUCCUUCAAGUAAUCUGAUCUCUCCAGGUCGAUAUGACAAAUGAGACCCUCGUAACCAAACGCACGAUGACCACCUCGUUCGAUGGAGAAAGCGUGCGGCUCCAUGUUACAGGUGUAAGACGGCACGGGAUUCCCAUUCUUAUCGAGCAAGCUAAUUCUGAAUUUGGCUAUAACUUCACUGACACCAUAGAUAGGGUAAUCAAGACGCAGGAAGAUGGAUAUCGAACCCGAAUAGCGUUCGUCCAAACCAUCCGGGUAGUAUUGCAUACGCCAACAAUGCCCUCCCACGAAGAACGUGUCCGAGUCGAAGCAUUUGCCGUUGCCGCGCCUUUUGGUGCGGGAGUAGCCAUCGAUCCGGAGGAUGUGCGAUCCGACGGUCUGAGCGACGACGGCCGACGCGGUCAGCGACGGCUCGCCGCUGCUGGCACCGUCGGCAGACCCAAAUAAAGCGCUGGACAUUGCGUGGCCGGGUUUUUAUGGUAGAGUGGAGAUGGAGGUGGAGGGAGGUUUUUACGGUAGAGUGGAGGUGGAGAAUCGCAGAUCAGAGGGAGCUGGCGAGGUUCUUAUAUACUCACGCGCGUGACAGGGUUGGACUUGGUGUUAAUCUCGACUUAAGCUAGUGGUUUGUAGCAGCCGGCCGGUGAAGUUAGUGCUGGGAGAAGCCAAGAAGUCCAAAGUAUCUAGGAAAUUGCAUAAAUUAAUUAUUAGGUGUUUAAUUACAUCAACGGAAGUGAAUGUGUGUGGGUGGGCGCAUUCCUAGCGGUAGCCUACGAAUCGCCACCGUGUUUAAUUACCUCGGUCGAGGAGUCCGUUCAUCGAAGCGAUGCAUCAUCCGCCAACACCUCCCGCUCCCCAUAUGCGGUUCGUCAGCUCUUAUUGCCCAGCGGCUCCCGCUGAGAAAAAGUUAAAGCACAGCAACGCUUUCUGUUCUUUUGUUUCUGCGCAGAACAUUGUUUCUAGACUCUCGUUUUUGUUUUCGAUGGAGUACCCAGAGGGGCUACAAUCAUUUUGCAUAGUACAAUCAGCUAGGAAGCUCUAGACUGCGCUUGCAAUUUAUCGAUUGCCUGGUCAUAUUUUGGCUUGUUUUACUGUAUUAUACGAAUAUCCAUUUCGGCUUCCGAGCUCAUCUGAUCUUGGUUAACUCUAUACUAUAUUGCAACUGGUCGGUUGCUCCACUCAUGAUAAGGUUAUUACUAUGGAGUAGACAGAGUUCAGUUUCGCUAUGGAUCUACACGCGUAAUGAUAAUUGCGUGAGAUAUAAAAAAUAAUGUUUGCACCUGUUACUCGACCAGGGCGACUCGGAAGGCGCAAAUCCUAGCCCGCCGUUGGCUCUCCCUUCGCGGACUCACUAAGGCUGAGGAGCUCGAGAGGCUGGAAUGCCAAGCAACCGCUAGGAAAUGUGGCAGCGAGGAUCUGGCUUUGGCACUAGGGGAAAGUACGUAGUUGCCGACGGCUUUUUGUCGGGGCCGUCGGCAUAUAUAGAGAUACGGCAACAAUUGAAAAAAGUCGUCGACGAAGCUGGAGAUGUACCGAUGGCUGCUGUCGGCAUAGUGUUGGCCGUCGGCAUAUAUGCUGACACGUGGCCCAUGCACUAGCGUUGUUAGAUCUAUGCCGACAGCCCUGACGGUGGCCGACGACCCUGACAACGGUCGCCAGCAAAAUAUUUUUUCUAUUAUUUUCUAUUUUUAGAAAGGUAUUAAAGAAGUAUGAAUUAGAUUAAUUAAAAUCUAACUUAUCUAAACUGAAACAUAUACAAAUUAUAUAACACUUUGGGGUAGAGGUUUUCAUAGAUUAUGAAUAACCACUUUGUUUCGGUUUUUGAAUAUGUUAAAAAUGCGACCACAUGUAGUUUUGCAAAUAGGUCCUUAUACUUUGUCAAAAUCACAAGAAUUUCAUACCUGCAUUGAUUUUAAGAAAUUUUCAUAUGUUUUUGGAUCAGAAUCUUGAAAGGAUUUGUAGGUAUACUAUGUUUUGAAAUUUGAACAAACUAAAAUCAUGCUUGCUUCAAAUUUCCGGAAAACCCCCUCUUGUUUUGACUUGUUUGUAUAUUUUGCAUUCUUUGGUCAAAUGAGAAAAACUUCUUCGGGAUGGAAACCUAGAUAUUGGCCUUGUGGCUUGUCGAGCAAAAGUUUGAGGUUGAUUAUUGGUUAAUUUGCCUCGUUGCCAGGAAUGAACACGACUCGCCAAGUAGAGACAUGUCUCCCGGGUGGAGAGAGGCUAGCAUUUUUUUAAUUAUAUAUUUUAAAACUCGAACCAUCCUAGAAAAAAUCAAAUAUUUGCCAUCUUCCAAAAUGAUUAUUUAUGCGAAUAAACUAUUCAUAAAGUUUUGUAGAAAUUAUGACUUGCAAAGAAACAAUUGCCCAUAUAAUAUUAUUCCGGACAUAUAUGCUCAACUCACCAUUGAUAUUCUUGAUGUAAGUUUAAUGUAAAGUUUCCACAAAAUAAUUAAAUAAAAAGUUCGCACAUUUUCUGAAAAAUAAUGACACAUAUGCAUUUCUCACAUGAAACAUUUUAUAGUUUUAUGUAGGUCCAAUUUUGUCGAUGCAUGUCAGAAAAAAUAAGUUGACAAUAAGGUCAGAAUAAAGCGCGUAAGUUAACCCUCAUAUAUAUUUAUCUCUGUUAUCUAGAAAGUAAAGCUAUACUUGGACUUGUUUAUGUUUCAAACUCUAAUUUGUAGUACUUGCUUAUGGUUCAGUCAACAUUUUAUACAAAUUUAAGAAAUGGUAACUCUUUUCUUUUCAACUUUGAAUCUAUUUUUAAAAAAGGACAAAUCGUCUCGUGUGCAGGUCAGAGGCAGAUGAAGACUUGAGGCAUAUGCAGUGGGAGUGCUUCUCCCGCUGCUCGAUGAUGGCAUAGCCAGAUAGGCCUGGACGUUGCCAGCGUACUCCGUGAAACGUACUGGGAAACAAACCAGCUAGUCCAGUACUUCAUUAGGACAAAGUUAAACUAUUUUUGCUGGUUUUCAUUGACAUGCAUAGGCGAUUAAUUACAAAGACAAAUUCGUGCCAAACUUGACAUAAUACGACAGCACCCUGCAAAGUUUCGGUUUACACACUGGAAUACAGAAAACUGAGAAAAGUUAAAAACGAAACGACUCAGACAUUCAUCCUAUAAGUUCGAUGAUUCUGUUACAGACUCGAUGACCAAACGACGUGCACAACUGUGCUUAAGCAAACAUUCCCACUUAAACAGAAGUAAUAACAGUAGAAGAAAAAAAAAGGGACAUAGCAACAUUGCCUCCAAACUCACGACAACGCGCACAACCGAUUGAACUCAAGGAUCCCCCCGGCCAGUUCAAAUGCCACGACGAACUGCGGAAACCGGGAUGGCCUUGGUGACCGUUUUCCCUAGUAGCACGGCCACAUCACACCUGAUGCUGAAAACAUCGUCCUUAAGGUAAUCUGAUCUCUCCAGGUCCAUCCUAUAGAUGAGAGUACCGACACCCCAUUCAGCAUGACCACCUUGCCUGCGGGAGAACGUCGUCGGACCGCCGUCAGGGAUGUUAGACCGCACAGGGUUGCCCGCCUGGUCGAGCAAACUAAUUCUGAAUUUUGCUUUGACUUCGUCGACAUCACUGUGAUCAAGACGCAGGAAGAUUGAUAUUGAAGCAGAAUAGCUUCAGGAGUAACCGUUGGGGUAGUAUUUCAGACACCAACGAUGCCCCCCGACGGUAAAACUCUCCGACGUGAUGAACUUGCCGGUGCCGAGCCCCAUGGUGUGGGAGUAGCCAUUGAUGCGGAGGACGUGGGAUCCGACGGCCUGGGCGUCGAUGGUCGACGCGGUGAGCGACGGCUCGUCGCCGCCUGUGGCACCGACGGCAGUCGCAGCAGCGUUGGACAUGGCGG
This 4313-nucleotide long non-coding RNA is filed under the name Triticum aestivum (bread wheat). RNAcentral's name for it is "long non-coding RNA (TAES_LNC015236)". Lineage: Eukaryota; Viridiplantae; Streptophyta; Magnoliopsida; Poales; Poaceae. The record is from RNAcentral.